AUGGCGACAGAAUCUGUACAAGGUGUGAAAAGAGGAGGAAGAAAUAUUCACUGGAGCUGGGGAAACUGUCAGGACAGUGAUGUCACAGGCAAAACCAGCAAUCAAGGCCAAGGAGACGAGAGCCCUGCCCCCUCUCUAGGGCAUCCUUCUUACACAGGCCACCACAGCCCUGAUUCCACCAUGGGCUGCAGGCUGCUCUGCUGUGUGGCCCUCUGUCUCCUGGGAGCAGCACUCCCCAUGGACACUGGAAUUACACAGUCACCAAAACACCUGGUCAUGGGAAUGAGAAAUAAGAAGUCUUUGAAAUGUGGACAACAUCUGGGACAUAAUGCUAUGUAUUGGUAUAAACAGAGUGCACAGAAGCCCCUGGAACUCAUGUUUGUCUACAACUAUAAGAAACUCACUGAGAACGAGAGUGUUCCAAGUCGCUUCUCACCUGAAUGUCCAGAUGACUCCCUCUUAUACCUUCACAUGGAUGCCCUGGAGCCAGAAGACUCCGCUGUGUAUUUCUGUGCCAGCAGCAAAGACACAGCCCUGCAGAGUCACCUUCUCCCUGUGCACAAACCUCCUGGGUCCAGCCAGGAAGCUGUGGGGGCAACCAAGGCUCAGUUCAACAUUUCCUGGAGGGCCCCAGGCAGAAAACUCAGACUGUAA
Molecule: non-coding RNA, 654 nt
Organism: Ceratotherium simum simum (southern white rhinoceros)
Lineage: Eukaryota; Metazoa; Chordata; Mammalia; Perissodactyla; Rhinocerotidae
Source: the annotation of a RefSeq genome assembly